Molecule: ribosomal RNA, 721 nt
Filed under: Eupompha fissiceps
Lineage: Eukaryota; Metazoa; Arthropoda; Insecta; Coleoptera; Meloidae
Description: SSU rRNA
Rfam family: Eukaryotic small subunit ribosomal RNA
Source: RNAcentral
CGGCGCGCAAUUACCCACUCCCGGCACGGGGAGGUAGUGACGAAAAAUAACGAUACGGGACUCAUCCGAGGCCCCGUAAUCGGAAUGAGUACACUUUAAAUCCUUUAACGAGGAUCAAUUGGAGGGCAAGUCUGGUGCCAGCAGCCGCGGUAAUUCCAGCUCCAAUAGCGUAUAUUAAAGUUGUUGCGGUUAAAAAGCUCGUAGUCGAAUUUGUGUCUCAUGCCGCUGGUUCAUCGUUCGCGGUGUAAACUGGCGUGACAUGGGACGUCCUGCCGGUGGGCUUAGCUCUUAACGGGGCGGCCCUAUACAAUCCUGCCGCGUUGCUCUUGAUUGAGUGUCGAGGUGGGCCGGCUCAUUUACUUUGAACAAAUUAAAGUGCUUAAAGCAGGCUAAAAUUUUGCCUGAAUAUGUGUGCAUGGAAUAAUGGAAUAGGACCUCGGUUCUAUUUUGUUGGUUUUAAGAACCCCGAGGUAAUGAUUAAUAGGAACGGAUGGGGGCAUUCGUAUUGCGGCGUUAGAGGUGAAAUUCUUGGAUCGCCGCAAGACGAACAUAAGCGAAAGCAUUUGCCAAAAACGUUUUCAUUGAUCAAGAACGAAAGUUAGAGGUUCGAAGGCGAUCAGAUACCGCCCUAGUUCUAACCAUAAACGAUGCCAGCCAGCGAUCCGCCGACGUUCCUCCGAUGACUCGGCGGGCAGCUUCCGGGAAACCAAAGCUUUUGGGU